AAGUAAUAAAUGUUUUCAGUAUUUAACUUAUUUUUACUUUAUUUAUCUUUUUCUAUAACUGUUUGAAGGAAUUAUGCUAAUAUAAGGUACUGCCAAUGUUGAUUGACACUUCAAAAAAUUUUCUUCCAUUUACAUGUCUUUUAAGAAAUGUUCAUAUUGUACUUUAUUUUAAAAAUUUAUAAAUAUGUUGUGCCUCGGGUUAAUUAUGGUUCUAGAUCCGCCACUGACUAUAUAUGUAUACUAUGAGAAAUCAUAUGUCGGGUAAUUAUACUUGGAACUAUGGUACCAUAUUAGAAGAUUAGAGAUAGAAUGAAAAAAAGAGUUGAAUUA
RNAcentral lists this small RNA (330 nucleotides) under Arabidopsis thaliana (thale cress). RNAcentral's name for it is "ATSL299040". Lineage: Eukaryota; Viridiplantae; Streptophyta; Magnoliopsida; Brassicales; Brassicaceae. The record is from RNAcentral.